ACUAUCCUUAACAGUUACAUACAUGUUAGUGUUAAAGUAUUUAAUAAGUCUCGACAAAGUUAUUACGACUCUGAAUUCGUCAUUACCUUCGCCGAUACUUUUACUAUCGACAAGCGAUUGAUUUCACGAUUCAUAUAAUAUUUACGAUAGCAAUGACAUUUCGCGUUUGGCGUUUGUUCAGUUGCCCGUGGAAUUCUGUGCGGGAACGACGGCGCGAGAAGUUGCAAGAACAACAAACCGACCGUGAAAAGACGAAAACACAAGGAUUCCCAAAAUUUUUCCAAGGCGAUAUAGAGAAAAUAAGAGAGACGAGGAGACUUCGAGCGAUACACCGCAUGGUCGGAAUCGUCGAAUGGGAAAUCACCGAGUAUAAAUAGAAGAUGACUCGCGGUCUGGACUCGCUUGGACACCGUCAGUCGAUGAUCAUACUUUAGCAUCGCUAAGUGGGUAUCGAUACAGCAGUACUUCGUUAACUGGCCACGAUCCGCAACCUUAUCUGGCCAGUUAUCGAGAAACAUAAUGCCAGAGGUACACAACGAAAUCAGUAUCAAGAGUUGGUGGGGAUAGCGAUAGCCAGCUAGAGAAGUGAAAUGGCGAACAAUUAACGUGACAUUACUGUACAUCUCUGAUAGAUCUAUAUAUGCGUAAAAAUGUACACGCAUCAAAUAAGGUAUCCGGUUCAUCCUUGGAGCAUCGUUCCGCAUGUUCCAAAAAUAACUAAGGCCAGAUGUGUCAUAUUACACUUAUAUGUAUGAAACAUA
Long non-coding RNA from Bombus pascuorum, 761 nucleotides. RefSeq lists it as uncharacterized. Lineage: Eukaryota; Metazoa; Arthropoda; Insecta; Hymenoptera; Apidae. The transcript has 2 exons. The record is from RefSeq and is a predicted model, not a curated record.